GGUUGUAGCUCAGUGUUAGAGUACUUACCUAGCAUGUACGAGGCCCUGGGUUCAAUCCCUAGUGCUG
RNAcentral lists this transfer RNA (67 nucleotides) under Marmota monax (woodchuck). Its description in RNAcentral is "tRNA.Ala". Lineage: Eukaryota; Metazoa; Chordata; Mammalia; Rodentia; Sciuridae. The record is from RNAcentral.